UAUAUUAAAGAUUCAUCGGUAAGGGAUGGGCAUGCGUAGGAUUAGUUAGUUGGCGGGGUAACGGCCCACCAAGACUGUGAUCCUUAGGGGUUCUGAGAGGAAGGUCCCCCACACUGGCACUGAGAUACGGGCCAGACUCCUACGGGAGGCAGCAGUAGGGAAUAUUGGGCAAUGGGCGGGAGCCUGACCCAGCCAUGCCGCGUGCAGGAAGAAGGCGUUAUGCGUUGUAAACUGCUUUUAUACGGGAAGAAAAGGCCCAUGCGUGGGACAUUGCCGGUACCGUAUGAAUAAGCACCGGCUAACUCCGUGCCAGCAGCCGCGGUAAUACGGAGGGUGCAAGCGUUGUCCGGAUUUAUUGGGUUUAAAGGGUGCGUAGGCGGCCCGUUAAGUCAGCGGUGAAAGUCUGUGGCUCAACCAUAGAAGCGCCGUUGAUACUGAUGGGCUUGAGUGCCGUAUGGGUACAUGGAAUUGAUGGUGUAGCGG
RNAcentral lists this ribosomal RNA (483 nucleotides) under Aquiflexum sp. RNAcentral describes it as "bacterial SSU rRNA". It matches the Rfam family "Bacterial small subunit ribosomal RNA", at positions 197 to 681 of the family's 1533-position model. Lineage: Bacteria; Pseudomonadati; Bacteroidota; Cytophagia; Cytophagales; Cyclobacteriaceae. The record is from RNAcentral.